Molecule: ribosomal RNA, 433 nt
Filed under: uncultured bacterium
Lineage: Bacteria
Description: partial 16S ribosomal RNA
Rfam family: Bacterial small subunit ribosomal RNA
Source: RNAcentral
AACGAACGCUGGCGGCAUGCCUAACACAUGCAAGUCGAACGAGACCUGCGGGUUUAGUGGCGCACGCGUGCGUAACGCGUGGGAACCUGCCUUUAGGUUCGGAAGGACUCCCCGAAAGGGGUGCUAAUACCGGAUAAUGUCCUCGGACCAAAGAUUGAUCGCCAUUGGAUGGGCCCGCGUUGGAUUAGCUAGUUGGUAGGGUAAAAGCCUACCAAUGCGACGAUCGAUAGCUGGUAUGAGAGGAUGAGCAGACACACUGGUAGUGAGACACGGCCCAGACUCAUACGGGAGGCAGCAGUGGCGAAUACUGGAAAAUGGGCGAAAGGCUGAUCCAGCAAUGCCGCGUGAGUGAUGAAGGUCUUAGGGUUGUACAGCUAUUUUACACGGGAUGAUAAUGACAGUACCGGGAGAAUAAGCACCGGCUAACUCCGUG